Molecule: ribosomal RNA, 465 nt
Filed under: uncultured bacterium
Lineage: Bacteria
Description: partial 16S ribosomal RNA
Rfam family: Bacterial small subunit ribosomal RNA
Source: RNAcentral
CCUACGGGAGGCAGCAGUAGGGAAUCUUCGGCAAUGGGCGAAAGCCUGACCGAGCAACGCCGCGUGAAUGAAGAAGGCCUUCGGGUUGUAAAAUUCUGUUAUAAGGGAAGAAAGGUGAUAGGAGGAAAUGACUAUCAAUUGACGGUACCUUAUGAGAAAGCCACGGCUAACUACGUGCCAGCAGCCGCGGUAAUACGUAGGUGGCAAGCGUUAUCCGGAAUUAUUGGGCGUAAAGAGCGCGCAGGUGGUUAAUUAAGUCUGAUGUGAAAGCCCACGGCUUAACCGUGGAGGGUCAUUGGAAACUGGUUGACUUGAGUGCAGAAGAGGGAAGUGGAAUUCCAUGUGUAGCGGUGAAAUGCGUAGAGAUAUGGAGGAACACCAGUGGCGAAGGCGGCUUCCUGGUCUGCAACUGACACUGAGGCGCGAAAGCGUGGGGAGCAAACAGGAUUAGAUACCCCAGUAGUC